RNAcentral lists this ribosomal RNA (294 nucleotides) under uncultured microorganism. Its description in RNAcentral is "partial 16S ribosomal RNA". It matches the Rfam family "Bacterial small subunit ribosomal RNA", at positions 505 to 796 of the family's 1533-position model. The record is from RNAcentral.
GUGCCAGCAGCCGCGGUAAUACGUAGGUGGCAAGCGUUGUCCGGAUUUAUUGGGCGUAAAGCGAGCGCAGGCGGUUUCUUAAGUCUGAUGUGAAAGCCCCCGGCUCAACCGGGGAGGGUCAAUGGAAACUGGGAGACUUGAGUGCAGAAGAGGAGAGUGGAAUUCCAUGUGUAGCCGGGAAAUGCGUAGAUAUAUGGAGGAACACCACUGGCGAACGCCGCUCUCUGGUCUGUAACUGACGUUGGAGGCUCGAAAGCGUGGGGGAGCAAACAGGAUUAAAUACCCUGGUAGUCC